RNAcentral lists this ribosomal RNA (253 nucleotides) under uncultured bacterium. RNAcentral describes it as "partial 16S ribosomal RNA". It matches the Rfam family "Bacterial small subunit ribosomal RNA", at positions 524 to 776 of the family's 1533-position model. The record is from RNAcentral.
UACGUAGGGUGCGAGCGUUAAUCGGAAUUACUGGGCGUAAAGCGUGCGUAGGCGGUUUUUUAAGCCCGAUGUGAAAGCCCCGGGCUUAACCUGGGAAUGGCAUUUGGGACUGCAAGGCUCGAGUGCGGCAGAGGAGACUGGAAUUCCCGGUGUAGCAGUGAAAUGCGUAGAUAUCGGGAGGAAGACCGAUGGCGAAGGCAGGUCUCUGGGCUGACACUGACGCUCAUGCACGAAAGCGUGGGGAGCAAACAGG